Molecule: non-coding RNA, 858 nt
Filed under: Metacarcinus magister (Dungeness crab)
Lineage: Eukaryota; Metazoa; Arthropoda; Malacostraca; Decapoda; Cancridae
Source: RNAcentral
AAAGUUUGAUUCUUUCUUGAGUUUCCAUGAGGCUAUCGAAUUUGUAUGAGUAUUAAGGUGAGUAAAAGGAAGUUCAUUUAAUAUGAAAAAUGUAAAAUAAAACAAAAAGGAGAGAAAUUAGGUAUCUUUUUAUUUAUGUAGUUUAUUUAAAUCUCAGCAUAAAAUAUUAAGAAUUAUAUAUUAAAAAUAUGAUUUAGUGGUAGUUUAAAACCUGACAAAAUAUUGUGCCAGCAGUCGCGGUUAGACUUUAAGGUUAAGUGGAAAUACAUUGGAUCUGGUUAAGCGAAAUUAAAGUGUAUAACUUAAAGGUUUCAAAAAACAAAAAGGUGGAAUUAAAUUUGUUUUUAUUGAAGAAAAGUGAGUAAAUACUUUUGCUGAAGCUGAUGAAAUUUAGGUUAAAACUAGGAUUAGAUACCCUACUAUUCUAAAGAAGAAAAAUAUUACCAUAAUAUUAAUAGCUAUAGGCUUUAAAUUUGAAGAAUUUGGCGGUGAUUUAAUCUUAUCAGAGGAACCUGCUUUUUAAUCGAUACACCACGAAAUAUCUUACUUGUUUUAAUUGUAGUUUGUAUACCAUCAUUAGCAGAUAAUUUUAAAAAGAAAAAUUAUUACGAUUAUAGUUUUAAAUAUAACAAAAUUAGAUCAAGGUGCAGCUUAUAAAUAAGUUAAAGUGGGUUACAAUAAAUUUUAUUUAUAGACGGAUAAAUAACAGUAAAAGUUAUAGGAAGGAGGAUUUGAUUGUAAUGGCGAGUUUAAUAUGCUCGAGAGAUAUAAGUUCUAAAUCAUGUACAUAUCGCCCGUCGCUUUCAUUUAUAAAUGAGAUAAGUCGUAACAUAGUAGGUUUACUGGAAAGUGAAUCUA